Molecule: RNA transcript, 8542 nt
Organism: Mus musculus (house mouse)
Lineage: Eukaryota; Metazoa; Chordata; Mammalia; Rodentia; Muridae
Gene: Tmem201
Gene name: transmembrane protein 201
Exons: 10
Source: RefSeq, marked validated
UGCACGCGGCCCGGGCCGCCGCCCCGCCCCCGCGAGGCCACGGCGGAGUCCUAGGGGCGGACCAGGCCUGCUCGCGAAUGCGGGACGCAUUCUCCGCCACCGCCUUUGCCCUCACCCCCUAAAAGCCUCGUCGGGGAGCAGCCGCCGACCGUGGCUGGGGGAGGGGGCUGCUGCUUGCUCCUCCCUUCGAGGCCCGUGCUCCUGGCUGGACUGCCCUGCUGGGCCUCUGCCGCCCAUCGGUUAGGAGGAUGAGAGCUGGCGCUUGAUGGGUGAAGCCAACACACACAAUGGUCAACUGCUGGUUCUGCAACCACGAUACACUGGUGCCCUAUGGGAAUCGCAACUGUUGGGACUGUCCCCACUGUGAGCAGUACAAUGGCUUUCAAGAGAAUGGAGACUACAACAAGCCAAUCCCAGCACAGUACAUGGAACACCUGAACCACGUGGUGAGCAGCGUGCCCAGUCCCCGGGACCCUGCACAGCCACAGCAGUGGGUGAGCAGCCAGGUCCUGCUGUGCCGAAGGUGCAGCCACCACCAGACCACCAAGAUCAAGCAGCUGGCUGCUUUCACACCACGGGAGGAGGGCCGCUACGAUGAGGAGAUUGAGGUGUACCGCCACCACUUGGAGCAGAUGUACAAGCUGUGCCGCCCGUGCCAGGCGGCCGUCGAGUACUACAUCAAACACCAGAACCGCCAGCUGCGUGCCCUGCUUCUCAGCCACCAGUUCCGGCGUCGGGAGGCUGACCAGGCCCAUGGGCAGAGUUUCAGUUCCUCGGCAGUGAAGGCCCCAUUCCAGGUCAUCCUGCUCCGUGCCCUGGCCUUCCUGGCCUGUGCCUUCUUGUUGUUCACUACACUGUAUGGGCCCAGCGAACCCUUCACCCCGGGGGCUGCCUUGCCCCCAGCCCUACCUCCUGGGGGCAACAGUUCUGCGGCCUCGGACAACACCACUUCUCAGGCGGAGGGCUGGCAGCAGCUGCUGGGUCUAUUGCCUGAGCAUGCCACAGAGAAGCUACAUGAGGCCUGGGCCUUUGGGCAGAGCCACCAGACCAGCAUUGUGGCAGUGGGCCUGCUCACCUGCCUGCUGGCCAUGCUGCUGGCUGGCCGUAUCAGGCUCCGGCGGAUCGAUGCCUUCUCCACCUGCCUCUGGGCCCUGCUGCUGGGGCUGCACCUGGCAGAGCAUUAUCUACAGGCUGCCUCACCCGGCUGGCUAGACACACUCAAGUUCAGUACCACGUCCCUGUGCUGCCUGGUGGGCUUCACCGCAGCUGUGGCUACGAGGAAAUCGACAGGCCCACGGAGGUUCCGGCCCCGAAGGUCAGAGAAGCAGCAGUGACUGCAGGGGGGAGGACAGGUGGCAGAUGGGCCGGGCUCGGCCCCGCCCCCUGAAGCUGGCAACAACUUGUCUUAGCCAUCCCACUCCCACCCUCUUAGCACAGCUUUGAGUUCAUGCUCAUCCCCUCCGCUCGCUGUCUUAGCCAUCCCGCUCCCCCAGUCUCGGUGCUCCCCAGGUGGCCUGUACUGGCUCACCACUGCCACCGCUUCUGGCCUGAGACCCUGUCAUAGCCCCAUAGCUUCCUGCCAGCUCUAGGCACCCAGUCUUGUCAUUGCUUCCCCCUGGCUCCUAGUCCACAGGCGAGGGUGUAGACUGCUGCUGUACCCUUGUAAUUUGCUUGACACCGGCCAGUUUACAAGCCAUGGCCUCUGAGCAUGGUGAGCUAGGACUAGAGCAGCCCGCUCAUCCCCCGAACCUCCUGGUCCCUCUUUCCUGAGACUCAUGGUCCCUCAGGGUCCUUCCCUGGAGUAGCAAGGGUCGUCCUUGGGUCCAGCCUGCCCUGGCUGUGUCUGUGAGGCAGGCUCCUCUCGGGUGGGCAGUAGAAAGCCCCGCAGUUCCUUAUGGUCAGCAAGUUCCAAUGGUCUGCCAGGUAGGAGGAGGAUGGAUCAUCCUAGAUCAGUAGCCGCUCCGCACAAACAGGACCCAACAGACUGUUGGUGACACCGGGUCAUUGUCCCUUGUACCUCUCUAGCAUUGGUGGCUUCCUUGAAAUAAUUUUUGGAGGGUGCCAAGGCUUCUGCCCUCGGUUUCUCUGGGGGCAGCUGCUGGCCCCAUGUGGUCUCAGCCUCACCCUCCUCCCAGGCACAGCUUCCCCCAAAAUUUGACUCAGCUCAGGCCCCUGCUAACUGAUGGGUUUUUGACAAAUCCCUGUUGUCUCAGCCAUCCGGAGUGGGAAGUGCUGGGUCCUCUUAUAAGGCUCUGAGGUGCUGGCCUCAGUGGAUUUGAGGACCACGAGAGGUGACACACUGGCAGUGAAGGUAAUGGCCAUGGGAAGAAGUCAUUCAUUGUCUAAGGAUCCAUCUGGACCAUAGGCCCAUGCUCCGCCCACCUGGCAUGCUGCCCUCUGGUGGCUCCCGGUUGACUCACACUGGUGGUGUUGCUACUGCCGCUUGUCUGCUAACUUAAAUCCCUCUAAGUGCGGCUCUUUCACCCUCUGCACUGGAGCCCAGGGAGGGCAGAGGAAGAUUUCACACGAGUGAGUGUCACAUCAGACCUGACCAUCCACUGGGGUCUUUGUGAGGUGGCUGGUCAGUCCUCCUUGGAACCCCAUAGGGAGCUUGAGAGGCAAGCAGGCCCCACUGUGGUAAAGCUGUUUGAGGCCUCUAUCCUCUGACCCUCCGUUAUCAGAUAGCAACCCGGGAUUACUCAGCGUCCAUGUGGUGGCCUGCCAGUGUCAGGAGAGCAGGCGUUGCUUCAGGCAUCGCAGGGCUCAGCUUGCUCUGGGUGAGGGUGUGGAAGGUCUCUGACGUGUAGGUGAGGCCCUGGUUGAUGUGGGCUAGUUGCUGCUGACCUUGUGGGGUACAGCUGUCUGAGAGGACGAGGAACGCCUUCCUGUCUCUUUCCUCCAAGGAACUGGCCUACGGGAAAAAAGAUGUAACAGGCGGUGGGGCUGUUGUCUGCGCGUCCUCUCCUGUGUAUUGUGGAUCUCAAAGAAGCUGACAAUAUGGUGUUAAUUUCUGCAUUUUUGGCAUUAGAUAGAAGCCGGUGUGUGCGUGCGUGCGUGUGUGCAUGUGUGUGUUUAAAUUAUUUAUGAUACACAGAGCCAGCUCUGAGCAGCCAGAAUCCCUGCUGAGCCUGUCACCCUGCCUGUUGGUGGGAGUAGACAGCAUGAUGGGUCGGGAUUGCUGGCCUUUUAAAGCGUUCCUGCUACUUUUUAACAUUAAUGGUCCUUUAACGUUUUGUUAGUUGGAGAAAGCGUGUUCUGGGGUCGCUGGCAGAAGCUGAGGAAACUCAGGCACCCUUGGGUUGUGGCUCAUUGACUGGGACAACCACUGGGCCGUCCCCGUUCAGAGUGGGAUCAUCCCAGGUACAUAGAGGUGGUGUCCCUGAGAAAGGAGGGAGGGAGACUGCUCACGUCUGCGUCUGGGGCCCACGCUGGCCCGAGCAGAGCAGACUCCAGUAACCCUUGCCCUGGAGCAGGCCACCCUCCAUCCCCAGGCAGCCUGUCCAUCCCGCCCGCCGUGCCCUCUGUCUGCGCCCAGUGCAAGCCCGUGUCAUGUAGUAGAUUGUGAUUGUCCAGCGACCCUAACAACUGUAACCACCACUGGCCAUAGCUGCCAUGUUUUGAAUGCUGUGUUUUCAAUAAAUGCCUCCUGGGUCCUGCUCAUUCCGGUUGGCACCAGGUACCGCGUCUUUUUUUCUUUCAUGUUCUUCAGAAGGGCUUCUGUUCCACAAGGGAGGUGGGUUGGUUUGGGGUACUGCAUUUGGGGUUGGGAGCAGGAUGGGGAUCUGGCGAUGAGGAGGAGUGCUUACGGGCCCAGCUGCUCCUCUGUCCUGUGGGUGAGCUGCUGCCUGAGCAGCUCCACUCUGGAUGGCGCGGUGAGGGGGAAGGCUUGAGCCUCCCUCGGGGUUGGAUUAGUGCGCGUCGGCCUGCUGGCCUUCUUCACAGGAACAGGAAGGAGACUCGCGGGUGGGGAUUGAGCAUGCAGAUAUUUGGGGACCUCUCACUGAAGAAGCAUUGCGCCCUUACAGAAGAGACUGCCUCAGGAACUGCCCAGGGCAGAGCAGAGCAGAGCAGAGCCCAGCCCCUGCCAAGCUUCCCCACCUUUGGAAUUCACUCCUCUGCUGACGGUACUCUGUGUCACAGCAAGAGGGAGACAGACCUCCACAGCCCUCUCACAGUGCAGCCUGAGAGAGGCUUCAAACCUGGCAGCAGUUCCUGUGCUUAGUGGCUAGGACUCCCAGGGUUAACCAUGGCUGUGGCCCAAGAGCGAGCAGGGCUGGAGAGAGUGGGGAUACACUAGCAACGCCCAGCAUAGCUUUAGGUGCCGGCCUAAGGGGCCAGGACAGCGGGAUCCCCGCCUGGCUAGGACCUUCCAUGCACUGCAUCCCCCGUUGCUUGCUGGUCCUUGGGGGCUGCCCUUUCCAGGAUCACCCUUGGCUCCUGGGUAUGUCAGGAAUGGACACAGGAGACCUAGUGUAGCAUCCUAUGCUGCCACCUGCUGGAAGGGCUUGGCCAUGCCUUUGCACCUGCUGACACCUGACUGACACCUGCUGCAACUUCACCAAUAAAUUCUCAGCAGUGCCCAGUGUCCUCCCAGAGGCUCAUACACAGUCAAGCAUGUGGUACCAGGUUCCAGCCUCGCCUCUGCUGGCCCUAAAGUGCCUGGACAUGUUCCCCCUGGAACAUUCACUGAGAUCCAGCCAGACUCAGUUGUAAUCCUGAAACGAAAAGGCAAAACAGCACACUUUGGGGCGGGGGGGGGGGGGGGGCAUUUUGCUAGAAAUCAAACCCAGACACACACACCUGACAGAUAAACUACCACUGAGGUCAACCCCAUUCCACAAAAAAAAUCAACUUAAGACAGGGAUGGUAUUCCUCCUCAGUCUUUGAUCAAGGAGUAGGGUUUCUAACAGCCCCCAAAAGACAGCUCUGGGAGCAAAGUUAGGGUACAUCCAAGAAUGCCCCUCUGCAAUUUUGCUGGGCCCUGAUUUCCUAUGUCCCCCAGACACUGAGCUGGAAGUACUGGUGGCUUCACGGUCCUUUGCAAGAGACUGGGAAGGUCAUCUGGUUCUCUGGACAUUCACCAUCUGGCUACAUACACCUCUCUUAUAAAAUUGAAAAGUGGGGAAAGAGGUGGGGCAGAGCUUGGCUAGCAGUAGCCCCCCAAGCACUCGGCCACGCUAGCAUGAGUACCUUACCCCUGCUCACCACGGGGCCCGGCCCUGCCAGCCCGGUUCGUCGGCACAUUGUCUGCUGGGCUCGUUUGUCCCUUGGGACCGAGGUAAGGCUGGAUAGCAGAAGCUCCUUCCAGAUGGCAGACUAAUAUAUUAACUGCCUCUGUCCCUCUCCCCUCUGUAAUUGGGUGCCUUAAUCGGAAGCAUGGUUGACAUUCUGGCCUGUGGCCAUCAGGUUCUGUUGUGUGAUUUGUCCUGUUCUCAAGUUAAAGAGACACUGUCACCUGUCUUUCGGGCAGCUUGGUGGCGGUUUUGGGUCUUCUCUAAGUUUGAGUUUGGCAAGUAAAGUGUAAGAGCCUCUUCUGGGGACCCAAGGCCUGGCUGCCUCCCCCUGUGCUGCAGGAGACAGGCUCAUUAUCAUUAGCACAGCCCCAUGGAGAUAUGACAGCACCUUCUGAAGCUCCAGUCCAGUUGGAGAUCAUCCCGAGUGUCUCUGAGCCCAGCUGCUCUGUUGGGAACUUGUAGGCAAAGAAUGGGAGGUGGCCAGAAGAACCCCAGGUCUGCUGAGCCUAGCGGAGUGCCUGGUCUGGGGAUAGGAACGUUUGCUUCAGGGCCAAGGGUGGAUUGGCAUGAAGCUGGCCAGGGUAACAGUGUCGCUUUAAUGCCGAGACUCCCGGUAGACGUAGAUUGCAGUGAGCCUGAGGGGCUGGAGGGGGCAUGUGGGGUGGGGUGAGUCACGUUGGCAUUUCCCAGCCACCUGCUCCUAAUCAGUGGACAGUUGCCUCUUUGCUUCGACUAACGCACGCCUCCUGUGGGACCCUGACUCAGGCCCACCUCAUACCCUGGGAGGGGCCGGGCCCAUUGUGCAGGGGCUUCCUCCAGAACCUUCCUGAUGCAGUCUCCUCUCUUUGUGUCCCACGGGCCCUUGCAGGUACUUCUCCGGAGACUCUGCCAGCCUUUUUCCUUCCAGCCCCAGCCUGGCUGUGCCCUACCCAAGUGUCACAUCCUCGCCAGCAUCCCUGUUCAUCCCCACCCCACCUGGCUUCCUGCCUCUCACCAAGCAGCAGCUGUUCCGAUCUCCCCGUCGGGUCUCCCCCUCCUCACUGCCAGGCCGCCUCAGUCGGGCCCUCUCGCUGGGAACCAUACCUCCUCUGACCCGGACUGACUCAGGAUACCUGUUCAGCGGGAGCCGGCCACCGUCUCGGGUGUCUCCAGCAGGGGAGGUUUCUCUUUCAGAUUACUUUUCUCUGCUGUCCAGCAGCUUCCCUGCUUCUCCCCUCCCUUCCCCAGCACCUUCCGUGGCCAGCUCCGUGGCCUCCAGCUCUGGCUCCUUGCGCCACCGCAGGCCCCUCAUCAGCCCUGCACGGCUCAACCUGAAAGGACAGAAACUGCUGCUGUUCUCAUCCCCUGGGGAAGCACCAAAUACCCCCAGCAGCUCAGAGGAGUUCUCGCCACCCAACGGCAGCCUCUUCAUUGAGUCUCCCCAGCUGCCACAGAGGAAUCACACUCGGGACACAAAGCACACCAUGGAGAUGAGGUCGAUGCUGGCCAGAGACAGCGCCCGCAGUAGCCACUCCAUCAAGAAAGAGGACGAGUCGUCUCAGUCCUCCACCUGCGUCGUAGACACCACCACCAAAGGGUGCUCAGAGGAGACCACUCCCUGGAAAGCUCGUGUCAGUCCCUCCCUGGUCCGGGGCCUCCUGGCUGUGAGUUUGGCAGUCAAUGCUCUCUUCACCUCGGCCUACCUGUACCAGAGCCUGCGCUGACCUCCGAGUGCCCUUCCCGAGGGCAGUGCCAGGUGCAUGCUGCUUCCGACACUGGCGCUGAGAUCCCUCCCCGAGGGGCUCUGUCUCUGCCUUGACCUCCUGGGUCAAGUCCCUGACCUCAGGAUACCUGCUGUCCACCCAACAGACUGCAAACAUCAACUGUGUUUGGUGCUGACACUCUGAACCCAAAACCAGGGAUCUCUGACAGGCUUGCCUGGCCCCAGGGACACUACUGCUACUGUAGCUGUGGCAGGGACCAACCAGGCUGCCUGUGCCCGUCUGCUGCCUCCGAGACACCAGAGGUCUGCUGCAGAGCCCCACCAAGAACCAAGAUGAAGAAAGCCCCUGAGAGAUGCACAUGGAGCCUGGAUCACUUCAUCCUCACACCUGUUCCCUCCAGAGGGCCCGGCUCCCUGCAUCAGGCAGCAGCCGCCCAUCUCGCCCCAACUGUUGGCUCCAGGCAGGGCUGGGCAGCAGGGAGCCUGGGACUGAACAAUAAACCCAUGAUCUCCUGCCUCACACACCUGUUUGUGACUUUCCCAGCAAGUAGCUCUGUUACCCUGAGAACACCAGAGCUCCCCUUGUCUCCCUCUCUCUCUCAUCCAGGGUCCCUGCCUGACCCACCAGUUGCUCGUGAGCUGCACAGUUCAGAUGAGACUGGACCCUCCCUUACUUACUCCUGAGCCCUGCUCUCCUCUCCUCCAUCCUGUCCCAAUCUGUGUCCCCCUUGACCUGUGGCUCCAGGCCAUCGGCAUUGGUGCCUACGUGUCCAGCCACUGCCUGCUGAGGGCACUGCAGGCUUGCUGGAGCACGCUGGAGCACAUCCUGUCCCAUGAGGGAGGAGGAGGAGCGUUGGCCUAACACUGGCUGUUUCGAUAGUGUGGGGGCUACAUGUGCCUGUAGGGGUCAGGCCUUGGCCCUGUGUGCGUGUGAGCCUGUGUGUGUAUGAGUGUGUGUGUGAGUGUGUGUGUGUGUGUGUGUGUGUGUAUGUGUAUUUGUAUUAUACCCCUGGGGAUUCUUGUGGGGGAGGGGCAUGGGGAAGGGAAGGGUCUUCACUGUCAUUCAGGGAUAAAAUUUAACUUUAUUUUUCUACACAUCUGUUGCCAGGUGAGGCACGUGCUUUGAAGCAGAUGCCUUCAGCCCUCCCUGCUGGGAGGUGGUCUCUCAAGCUCUGGGUGCUUUUAGUACUUUUUUUUUUUUUUAACUGUAGGGAAGCAGCCCUGACCUUACCUCUCCACUCCUGUCCCGGGAGCUCUCAAUGCUAUCCUGGAUUGCCUCGUACCAGUCAGAGGUCAGGACUCCAUGAGUCCAGCUGCCACAAAGGGUUCAGCUUGGAGGUGACACCUCUUUGGUCUACAUUUGUACAAUGGAUGCAUCAAGUUUCUAAAUUUUAUUUCCUGCCUAAAGAAACCAAAUUGUCCCUCAGCAUCCUUGUCUCCAGCCCUGAGGAAACACCUAAAGAGAAGCAAUGGCUCCUCCCAGCAGGGCAGCCUGGCACCCUGCGCACCCAGGAGGGCCUUUUAUGUUUUGAUUCAUAUAUAAACACGAUGUUAUUUUUCUUUACAAAAGCAAAAAAAUAAAAACCGUACCAACCUUUGACUUGUA